GGCUUGAUGGUUUAGUGGUAUAAUUCUCGCUUAGGGUGCGAGAGGUCCCGGGUUCGAUUCCCGGUCAAGCCC
RNAcentral lists this transfer RNA (72 nucleotides) under Rhizomucor pusillus. RNAcentral's name for it is "tRNA-Pro". It matches the Rfam family "tRNA". From Rfam's summary of the family: Transfer RNA (tRNA) molecules are approximately 80 nucleotides in length. Their secondary structure includes four short double-helical elements and three loops (D, anti-codon, and T loops). The record is from RNAcentral. Lineage: Eukaryota; Fungi; Mucoromycota; Mucoromycetes; Mucorales; Lichtheimiaceae. RNAcentral also lists the same sequence under 2 other names.